This 467-nucleotide long non-coding RNA is filed under the name Manihot esculenta (cassava). Its description in RNAcentral is "long non-coding RNA (MESC_LNC013138)". The record is from RNAcentral. Lineage: Eukaryota; Viridiplantae; Streptophyta; Magnoliopsida; Malpighiales; Euphorbiaceae.
GAGGAAUAACCGAAUCGAACCGAACCGAUUUGGUUCGGUUCGGUUCAGUCGGUUUGAUCGGUUCGAACCGAUUUUUAAACUUAUCUUUUUUUUUUUUCACAUUCAUUCUAAAAUACAGUUAAAAUAUUUUAAUUUUAACUUUUACAAAAAAAAAUCAAUAAAAUAUAAAAUUUUACAAAUAAAAAAUCAAUAAAAUAAUAAAUCAAUAAAUCAAUAAAAAAUCAGAGGACUGAGGGCAACCGACGAGGGCUGAGGACGAGGACUGAGGAUUGAGAACUGAGGAAGACAGAGGAGAGGACCGAGGGCAACCAAGUUGCUGACGGUGCGGAGAGCCGAUAUACUGGAGAGCGAUGGCCGACGAUUGCGUGGAGAGCGACGAUCGACGCCGACGAUUGCGUGGAGAGCGACGAUCGACGCCGACGAUUGUGUGGAGAGAGAGAGACUAGAGAGCGACAGUGGACCGGUGG